ACUAGCAUAAACAGCGGAAUCGCGACGCAGCUGCGUGCCAUAAGCUCCAGAAGCUGAAACAUUCGCGAAGCUGGCGAACGCCGGUGCUACGCAGAAGCUUGCGUGGCCCGAUUGUUUGAAUAUUUCCAUAACGAGGGAGCGCAAGAAAAUGAGUGCAGCGGUCCGUAUUUUUGGGAUUUCUGAGCCAACGGUCUUCUCUUUUUGCUAAUCCUCCGCGACGUUGAUUACUAGCAUGCGGAUUUUACGCAUGUGCGACGAGAAGCAAGAUUAGUAGUAAGAUUAAAAUAAUUUAAGAAUGUCGAUUUGCUCUUUCCUCGUUGUCGAGAUUGUUCAAGGAAGAGAUAAAUUAUAGUUAUAAUACAUUGUAACCGGUAACCGCUCCUUACAAUUCACGAAGACAAUUUUCAUUCUGCAGCAAGAUCCACAAGCUAGUAAUUACUAAAAUGGAAAGUUAAAAUGAAUUCAUCCUUGUACGAGUCUGCUAAUUGUCCGCGCGAGUUUGGAGCAUUAACGUUAGAAAUCUCCAGCAUUUAUUUUAACCAGUUAACUGUUGGAAUCUCCUUGAAAAUUAGCUGAUGUACUAUGACACAAAUACACUCGUCAAAAAAGGGCUAACUGGUUCAGGAUAUCGCUACGCCAAACUGUCUCAAGAAGACGCAUGAUCUCAAAAGAUGCAGUAAAUCAAGUACAUGAAGUUUGCCAACGUUAUGAAGUACUAUGACCGAAGGCCUGUUACAGAAGGAUCAUAUAAUAAUUGUCCAAUAAUAAAAUAGAUCGCGGAGCAGAACGAAGUAAUUUUGAUGGCACGAAA
Molecule: non-coding RNA, 811 nt
Organism: Megalopta genalis
Lineage: Eukaryota; Metazoa; Arthropoda; Insecta; Hymenoptera; Halictidae
Source: RefSeq, a predicted model, not a curated record